CAUUAUUGAAAAGCUUUGGAGUUACUGUUGCUGUUCCUUCAAACAAGGAUCGUGCACGUAUCUCUAAUACUAUUCAUCCACCUGUGCACUCUUUGUAGAAGUCCUUGACGAUUGACCUAUAAUGAGGUUUCAUUACCUUGUUAGUCGAUUCGAAAGGCUUCUAUGUCUCUACAAACCAUUAUGUAUGUUUUAGAAUGUUUUUUUUAUUGGGGCUUCAUUGACCCUUUAAAAUGUUAUACAACUUUCAGCAACGGAUCUCUUGGCUCUCCCAUCGAUGAAGAACGCAGCGAAAUGCGAUAAGUAAUGUGAAUUGCAGAAUUCAGUGAAUCAUCGAAUCUUUGAACGCACCUUGCGCCCUCUGGUAUUCCGGAGGGCAUGCCUGUUUGAGUGUCAUUAAAUUCUCAACUUCAAUAGUUUGUAAUGAACUCAUUGAAGCUUGGACGUGGAGGCUUGCUGGCGUCUCAGAUGUUCGGCUCCUCUUAAAUGCAUUAGUGGAUCCCGUUAGUUGGACUACAACUUUGGUGUGAUAAUUAUCUACACUUUAGUUCGUUCAACAGCUCUGUGAACACUUUUUCAGAGGCACUAGUGUUUCUGGUUUGGGUUUUGCAUCAGUAAUGAUGCUUUACCUGGUUCAUUAGAGUAGGGUUUAUCCGCUUUCAAACCGUCUGUGAAUGCGGACAAUACUUUGACUAUUUGACCUCAAAUCAGGUAGGACUACCCGCUGAACUUAAGCAUAU
Molecule: ribosomal RNA, 737 nt
Filed under: uncultured fungus
Lineage: Eukaryota; Fungi
Description: eukaryotic LSU rRNA
Rfam family: 5.8S ribosomal RNA (bases 240-393)
Source: RNAcentral